This 1525-nucleotide small RNA is filed under the name Arabidopsis thaliana (thale cress). Its description in RNAcentral is "ATSL082470". Lineage: Eukaryota; Viridiplantae; Streptophyta; Magnoliopsida; Brassicales; Brassicaceae. The record is from RNAcentral.
AAAAAAAAAAAAAAAAAAAAAACUAGAAGUUUCAAGAGUAUAUUUGGCUUAACCGGAUUGGUCAUCCUGGUUUAAUGAUGAUGCGAAAGUAUUGAGAAUUAUGUGGACAUUAGGUGAAAAACCAGAAGAUUCUUCCUAAUGAUUUAUCAAUUGUUACUUGCUGAGAAAACAAUAUGAUAAUGUGAUUUUUAUACCAGUCAAAAUAAUUUUGACUUUAUCUAUUCGUAAGCAUAUGCAAGGAGAUGAUUAUGGGUUGAUCACCUACUGUAUGACAUUUAGAUACCUAAUGGCUAUAAAAGAUGCAUCGAUUCAAUGGACGCAUUGACUCGAUUGUUGCAUCGACUAGAAGGUCAUAUUUAUCCUUGUUAUAAACCCGCAACAUAGAGUUUGCGAGGUUACUUUCUUGAUUAAAGUACAAGAGUAUUUCAGUGUUUAUUUAUUAUAACCAUUAUUGGAUAUCCGUUGGGAUAAGUGUUUAACAUUUUGAAAUUCAUGUUCAUACACAAAAUGGUUUAGUAACAUCGAUACGCAUCAAGCCAAUGAAUAAUUAAUAGUUUCCCCCAUUAUUGUUGGUUUUGGGUCAGAAACCAAAUAGUUUUCAUCUAAAAUCUUUGAAUGUGAUAAGUGCUCCACCACAGCACGUUGAGAUGAACCCUCGAAGGAGGAUAAGAAUACAUGUUGGAUAUGAAUGAUAACUAAGCCAUCCUAGAAGGAUUUAUAUACCGUUUUGAAGACUAUCAUAUUAUAUAGUCAGCUAUUCCAACAUAAGGGGGAGAAUGUAUACAACUGGUGAAAAAGAUAAAUAGAAAUGAAUUAUCAAUGAUCCUCGGAGUAAAGAAUGUAUAUUAAGAGUCCAAAAGAUAAUUCAAUUACAGAAUUUAGCGUUGUAAUUGCCAGACGCAUUUGCUGACCCAAAUAAAGUGAUGAAGUCACCUAUACCAGUUGUAAAUUAAAUGCUCCAGAAUAUAAUGAAUGUCCUGUAAGGACCAAUUUCAAACUGCUAUUGAGUCUUAAGAUCGCAUAAAGCGUAAUAGACCCUGGUUCCAAAUAUAAAUAUCCUCGUAAAAGUGAAGGAGCACAAAAUUAAAAAUGACCAAAUUGAGGAAAUAAAUAUUUUGAUGAUCUCUUGAAAAGAGUGAAUGAUCUCUAAAAGAGACAUAAACAUGACAAAUGAAACAUUUAAGUACUUGACAAUGAAGAGAUCUAGCUAGCUAUGUCAUGUCAAAAUAUAAUGGAAUCAAAUGCAAAUCGACGUCGUAAUAUAUUUGCAUGCUAUGAGCAGUUGAUAUUAUGGACAAAAAGGAGGAUUAUGAAAGAAAGUCUAUUGAAAAGUGUACACAAAGUAAUGAUUAGCCAAAAAUGGAAAAGAAGAAAUAGACAUAUAAUUAUAAUCUCUAGUAGAGAUAUUUGGACUAGUAGUCUAUGCACAUGAUGUGUAAAACCAUAAAAACAUCAUUGGAAGAUAAAUGAGUCUUUAUGUGAAAGAAUAGUGAAAUUAAUGAGAUUUUCACAAAGAUAAGAAAUU